This 240-nucleotide unclassified non-coding RNA is filed under the name Neodevriesia sp. RNAcentral describes it as "partial internal transcribed spacer region". The stretch from base 1 to 46 matches the Rfam family "Eukaryotic small subunit ribosomal RNA", at positions 1786 to 1831 of the family's 1831-position model. Lineage: Eukaryota; Fungi; Ascomycota; Dothideomycetes; Mycosphaerellales; Neodevriesiaceae. The record is from RNAcentral.
AAGUCGUAACAAGGUCUCCGUAGGUGAACCUGCGGAGGGAUCAUUACCGAGUGAGGGCGCCUCGUGCGCCCGACCUCCCAACCCUUUGAUUGAAAACAAACCUCGUUCUGCCUCAGGGGCGACCCGGAGCCUCCGGGCGCCGCGGUCCCCCCGGUGGACACACUUAACCCUGCAUCAAUUGUCGUCUGAGUCUAUUGAAAAAUUCAAUUAAAACUUUCAACAACGGAUCUCUUGGUUCUG